CUGCAUUUAAAAAUGUGAUAAUGACUUUGUUUUUUAGUGUUGAUCAUAUUGGAGGAGAGCCUACAAAUAGGCUGAUUGAUCGACUUCUACUUCAACCGUUUAGGGUUUUUUAGACACUCUUUGUUUAGGAAUUUUUCUUAAAAAGAUAUUGUAUGUAAUGUGAGGUAUUAGGGGGAGUGAUUUGUAACAAUUUGAGUUCGACUUUGGAGCCGUGAUUAUCGUAUGGAAAUGGUAUAUUGUGCUGCGAUUCUCGCUUUACUUAUCUCUUUGACUCACUUACGUUUUUGGACUGAUGAUGCAAACUCUCUAUUUCUAUCCAACUUCUAUUUUAGUAGAAGUUAGAAUGAAAUUGUAAUUUAAAUGCAAACUGAAAGCUUUUGCACUUUGUAUUUGUAUUUGUUUUUCUCUUUAUUGUUUCUCCUUCAACAAAGGAUCAUUUUUGUUUUUAAUA
RNAcentral lists this long non-coding RNA (451 nucleotides) under Gossypium raimondii (Peruvian cotton). RNAcentral describes it as "long non-coding RNA (GRAI_LNC008125)". The record is from RNAcentral. Lineage: Eukaryota; Viridiplantae; Streptophyta; Magnoliopsida; Malvales; Malvaceae.